GUAGGUGGCAAGCGUUGUCCGGAAUUAUUGGGCGUAAAGCGCGCGCAGGCGGUUCGUUAAGUCUGAUGUGAAAGCCCACGGCUCAACCGUGGAGGGUCAUUGGAAACUGGAGAACUUGAGUACAGAAGAGGAAAGCGGAAUUCCACGUGUAGCGGUGAAAUGCGUAGAGAUGUGGAGGAACACCAGUGGCGAAGGCGGCUCUCUGGUCUGUAACUGACGCUGAGGCGCGAAAGCGUGGGGAGCAAACAGGAUUAGAUACCCUGGUAGUCCACGCCGUAAACGAUGAGUGCUAAGUGUUAGGGGGUUUCCGCCCCCCUUAGUGCUGCAGCUAACGCAUUAAGCACUCCGCCUGGGAGUACGGCCGCAAGGCUG
This 372-nucleotide ribosomal RNA is filed under the name uncultured organism. Its description in RNAcentral is "partial 16S ribosomal RNA". It matches the Rfam family "Bacterial small subunit ribosomal RNA", at positions 527 to 896 of the family's 1533-position model. The record is from RNAcentral.